Molecule: long non-coding RNA, 729 nt
Organism: Cyprinus carpio carpio
Lineage: Eukaryota; Metazoa; Chordata; Actinopteri; Cypriniformes; Cyprinidae
Source: Ensembl
GCAGCCAAUCAGAAGCUGUGCCUGACAAGUGACCUUGCUGCCGAGCAGCUGAUUGGCUUUGUCAGAACUGUCAAUCUCUUCAAGACCCUGACAGGAUAAACAGAGCAGAGAUAUGCACAUAGACACAGACAAAGGAGAUGCAGGAGGAAUGUGAGAGAAUGGAAACAAAGACAGAAAAGGAUAGAUGAGAGAGACAGAAAACUGGAAGGAGAUGGAGGCCAGCCUUGAACCAUAAUGGCUCUUCAUUGGUUCAAAUGUACAAGUGACAGUGCUGCUGUUUUGGCUCUCUUGGAUGAAUGGGGAUGGGUGAACCUGCGCCAGCCAGGCAGCUGCCAUUGAGAUGAAUGGGAAUGCUACCAGAUAGCUCUCUCCAGGUGUCCAGGGAUGCUGUGAGCCUAUAAGAGGGGUCAUCUUCAUGCCCCCUGCCUGACACCCCUACAAUACUCUACCAGACCUCACAAUCAACCCAUUGUUCAUGCGGUCAAUAUCGCAAAGGAAAAGGUAAGGUGUGUGUGUGCACACAUACUGUAUCCUGAAGCCUGCGCUUACUACUGCAAGCCCAGCCAGACUCCAAUCAUAAUCCUGAGGAUUUUAGGAUAUGAUGACUCUACAAAUGAACUUUAAUCAAUGACAAUUACUUAUUUUGUUUUGAAGUGGAAAUGAGGUAUGAAAGAAAAAAUAUAUAUUAAAAAUAAAAAAUUAAUAAAAUGCAAAUUUUAAAUAAUUUUU